RNAcentral lists this ribosomal RNA (395 nucleotides) under uncultured bacterium. RNAcentral's name for it is "partial 16S ribosomal RNA". It matches the Rfam family "Bacterial small subunit ribosomal RNA", at positions 523 to 918 of the family's 1533-position model. The record is from RNAcentral.
AUACGUAGGGUGCAAGCGUUAAUCGGAAUUACUGGGCGUAAAGCGUGCGCAGGCGGUUUUGUAAGACAGUGGUGAAAUCCCCGGGCUCAACCUGGGAACUGCCAUUGUGACUGCAAGGCUGGAGUGCGGCAGAGGGGGAUGGAAUUCCGCGUGUAGCAGUGAGAUGCGUAGAUAUGCGGGGGAACACCGAUGGCGAAGGAAAUCCCCUGGUCCUGCACUGACGCUCAUGCACGAAAGCGUGGGGAGCAAACAGGAUUAGAUACCCUGGUAGUCCACGCCCUAAACGAUGUCAACUGGUUGUUGGGGAUUUAUUUUCUCAGUAACGAAGCUAACGCGUGAAGUUGACCGCCUGGGGAGUACGGCCGCAAGGUUAAAACUCAAAGGAAUUGACGGGG